UACGGGGGGGGCAAGCGUUGUUCGGAAUUACUGGGCGUAAAGGGCUCGUAGGUGGCCAACUAAGUCAGACGUGAAAUCCCUCGGCUUAACCGGGGAACUGCGUCUGAUACUGGAUGGCUUGAGUUCGGGAGAGGGAUGCGGAAUUCCAGGUGUAGCGGUGAAAUGCGUAGAGAUGUGGAGGAACACCAGUGGCGAAGGCGGCUUUCUGGUCUGUAACUGACGCUGAGGCGCGAAAGCGUGGGGAGCAAACAGG
Molecule: ribosomal RNA, 253 nt
Filed under: uncultured bacterium
Lineage: Bacteria
Description: partial 16S ribosomal RNA
Rfam family: Bacterial small subunit ribosomal RNA
Source: RNAcentral